This 403-nucleotide ribosomal RNA is filed under the name uncultured bacterium. Its description in RNAcentral is "bacterial SSU rRNA". It matches the Rfam family "Bacterial small subunit ribosomal RNA", at positions 357 to 777 of the family's 1533-position model. The record is from RNAcentral.
GGGAAUAUUGCACAAUGGGCGCAAGCCUGAUGCAGCGACGCCGCGUGAGCGAAGAAGUAUUUCGGUAUGUAAAGCUCUAUCAGCAGGGAAGAAAAUGACGGUACCUGACUAAGAAGCUCCGGCUAAAUACGUGCCAGCAGCCGCGGUAAUACGUAUGGAGCAAGCGUUAUCCGGAAUUACUGGGUGUAAAGGGAGCGUAGACGGAUGUGCAAGUCUGAUGUGAAAGGCGGGGGCUCAACCCCUGGACUGCAUUGGAAACUGUAAAUCUUGAGUGCCGGAGAGGUAAGCGGAAUUCCUAGUGUAGCGGUGAAAUGCGUAGAUAUUAGGAGGAACACCAGUGGCGAAGGCGGCCUGCUGGACUGCGACUGACGUUGAGGCCCGAAAGCGUGGGGAGCAAACAGGA